CCUGGGGAGUACGGUCGCAAGAUUAAAACUCAAAGGAAUUGACGGGGACCCGCACAAGCGGUGGAUGAUGUGGAUUAAUUCGAUGCAACGCGAAAAACCUUACCUACCCUUGACAUGGUCGGAAUCCCGCUGAGAGGUGGGAGUGCUCGAAAGAGAACCGGCGCACAGGUGCUGCGUGGCUGUCGUCAGCUCGUGUCGUGAGAUGUUGGGUUAAGUCCCGCAACGAGCGCAACCCUUGUCCUUAGUUGCUACGCAAGAGCACUCUAAGGAGACUGCCGGUGACAAACCGGAGGAAGGUGGGGAUGACGUCAAGUCCUCAUGGCCCUUAUGGGUAGGGCUUCACACGUCAUACAAUGGUCGGAACAGAGGGUUGCCAACCCGCGAGGGGGAGCUAAUCCCAGAAAACCGAUCGUAGUCCGGAUUGCACUCUGCAACUCGAGUGCAUGAAGCUGGAAUCGCUAGUAAUCGCGGAUCAGCAUGCCGCGGUGAAUACGUUCCCGGGUCUUGCACACACUGCCCGU
Molecule: ribosomal RNA, 521 nt
Filed under: uncultured Burkholderia sp.
Lineage: Bacteria; Pseudomonadati; Pseudomonadota; Betaproteobacteria; Burkholderiales; Burkholderiaceae
Description: bacterial SSU rRNA
Rfam family: Bacterial small subunit ribosomal RNA
Source: RNAcentral